UGNNAAUAUUGCGCAAUGGGGGCAACCCUGACGCAGCCAUGCCGCGUGAAUGAAGAAGGCCUUCGGGUUGUAAAGUUCUUUCGGUAGCGAGGAAGGCAUUUAGUUUAAUAAACUGGAUGAUUGACGUUAACUACAGAAGAAGCACCGGCUAACUCCGUGCCAGCAGCCGCGGUAAUACGGAGGGUGCGAGCGUUAAUCGGAAUAACUGGGCGUAAAGGGCACGCAGGCGGUGACUUAAGUGAGGUGUGAAAGCCCCGGGCUUAACCUGGGAAUUGCAUUUCAUACUGGGUCGCUAGAGUACUUUAGGGAGGGGUAGAAUUCCACGUGUAGCGGUGAAAUGCGUAGAGAUGUGGAGGAAUACCGAAGGCGAAGGCAGCCCCUUGGGAAUGUACUGACGCUCAUGUGCGAAAGCGUGGGGAGCAAACAGGAUUAGAUACCCUGGUAGUCCACGCUGUAAACGAUGUCGAUUUGGGGGUUGAGCUUUAAGUUUGGCGCCCGUAGCUAACGUGAUAAAUCGACCGCCUGGGGAGUACGGCCGCAAGGUUA
Molecule: ribosomal RNA, 546 nt
Filed under: uncultured bacterium
Lineage: Bacteria
Description: bacterial SSU rRNA
Rfam family: Bacterial small subunit ribosomal RNA
Source: RNAcentral